Unclassified non-coding RNA from Otolemur garnettii (small-eared galago), 111 nucleotides. It matches the Rfam family "Y RNA". From Rfam's summary of the family: Y RNAs are components of the Ro ribonucleoprotein particle (Ro RNP), in association with Ro60 and La proteins. The Y RNAs and Ro60 and La proteins are well conserved, but the function of the Ro RNP is not known. In humans the RNA component can be one of four small RNAs -- hY1, hY3, hY4 and hY5. The record is from Ensembl. NCBI's taxonomy places the organism in Eukaryota, Metazoa, Chordata, Mammalia, Primates, Galagidae.
GGCCUGUCUGAAAGGAGUGAAUUAUCUCAGUUGUUCACAUUCAGUUGUAGAUCAAAUUCUUUAUUCUACUCUUUCCCCUCCCUUCUCACUAUUACACUUGACUUGUCUUUA